CAGUAGCCGCGGUAAAACGGAGGGCGCGAGCGUUACCCGGAUUUACUGGGCGUAAAGGGCGUGUAGGCGGCCUGGGGCGUCCCAUGUGAAAGGCCACGGCUCAACCGUGGAGGAGCGUGGGAUACGCUCAGGCUAGAGGGUGGGAGAGGGUGGAAUUCCCGGAGUAGCGGUGAAAUGCGCAGAUACCGGGAGGAACGCCGAUGGCGAAGGCAGCCACCUGGUCCACUUCUGACGCUGAGGCGCGAAAGCGUGGGGAGCAAACCGGAUUAGAUACCCCGGUAGUCCCUGUCUCUUAUACACC
RNAcentral lists this ribosomal RNA (301 nucleotides) under uncultured bacterium. RNAcentral describes it as "partial 16S ribosomal RNA". It matches the Rfam family "Bacterial small subunit ribosomal RNA", at positions 509 to 810 of the family's 1533-position model. The record is from RNAcentral.